Molecule: ribosomal RNA, 460 nt
Filed under: uncultured bacterium
Lineage: Bacteria
Description: partial 16S ribosomal RNA
Rfam family: Bacterial small subunit ribosomal RNA
Source: RNAcentral
CCUACGGGGGGCAGCAGUGAGGAAUAUUGGUCAAUGGACGAGAGUCUGAACCAGCCAAGUAGCGUGAAGGAUGACUGCCCUAUGGGUUGUAAACUUCUUUUAUAAAGGAAUAAAACGAGGCACGUGUGCCUUUUUGCAUGUACUUUAUGAAUAAGGAUCGGCUAACUCCGUGCUAGCAGCCGCGGUAAUACGGAGGAUCCGAGCGUUAUCCGGAUUUAUUGGGUUUAAAGGGAGCGUAGAUGGGUUGUUAAGUCAGUUGUGAAAGUUUGCGGCUCAACCGUAAAAUUGCAAUUGAUACUGGCAGUCGUGAGUACAGUUGAGGUAGGCGGAAUUCGUGGUGUAGCGGUGAAAUGCUUAGAUAUCACGAAGAACCCCGAUUGCGAAGGCAGCUUACUAAACUGUGACUGACAUUGAUGCUCGAAAGUGUGGGUAUCAAACAGGAUUAGAUACCCGGGUAGUC